This 500-nucleotide ribosomal RNA is filed under the name uncultured bacterium. Its description in RNAcentral is "partial 16S ribosomal RNA". It matches the Rfam family "Bacterial small subunit ribosomal RNA", at positions 32 to 507 of the family's 1533-position model. The record is from RNAcentral.
AAUCAACGCUGGCGGCGUGCCUAACACAUGCAAGUCGAACGCGAAAGCCCCGCAAGGGGUAAGUAGAGUGGCAAACGGGUGAGUAACACGUGGGUGACCUGCCUUCGAGUGGGGGAUAACGUCCCGAAAGGGACGCUAAUACCGCAUGACAUCCUGCUUUUGAAAAACCGGAGAUCAAAGCUGGGGAUCGCAAGACCUAGCGCUUGAAGAGGGGCCCGCGCCUGAUUAGCUAGUUGGUGAGGUAACGGCUCACCAAGGCGACGAUCAGUAUCCGGCCUGAGAGGGCGGACGGACACACUGGGACUGAGACACGGCCCAGACUCCUACGGGAGGCAGCAGUGGGGAAUUGUUCGCAAUGGGCGCAAGCCUGACGACGCAACGCCGCGUGGAGGACGAAGAUCUUCGGGUCGUAAACUCCUGUCGAGCGGGACGAACGCUUCGCGGAUGAAUAAUCCGCGGAAUUGACGGUACCGCUAAAGGAAGCCCCGGCUAACUCCGUG